Molecule: long non-coding RNA, 2493 nt
Filed under: Mytilus galloprovincialis (Mediterranean mussel)
Lineage: Eukaryota; Metazoa; Mollusca; Bivalvia; Mytilida; Mytilidae
Source: RNAcentral
CCUGACAAAUACGGUUAUCAAAACGCCCACUAUUGUUUAGUAUAUAAUGACCAGAAAUGGAAAAUGAACGUCAUUUGAAUAUAAGGUUAUAAGGAAUAUGAAGUAUUUUAUUAUACUGGUAAGUAUAUUUAACUUUUAUUUCAGAGAGCAUCUUCCACAUACCAACUAAAGACCUUUCGUAAAUAGACUUAUGGUCCGAGACCACAAUUAUUUCAUAGUGCAUUUCUUUUAGAAUAUAAAUGAAAAUAAAAAAAAUCCCACCUGCGCUUUCUCAAAGAAACUUUUACAGUGUGUUGUACUACUUUUGGGGCAAAUUAUAUCAAAAUUAUACAAAACGUCAUCGGCUCUAACUCAAAAUAUGGACAAUUUUAUGUUUAGGGCGUCUUGAAAUCUUUUGACAGCUUCCGAAGUGCUAAUUUUAAACUUUUUUCAGCUGGCCCAAAUCACUACUUUCCUUUGAAAUUCUGGACCCAAAAAUUUCACCCCCCCUACUUGCAAUUUGAGGCAUUAAACAUGGAGAAAUAAAUUUGAAAGGGGUAGAAAAAUUAAUGGCAAGUAACCCACUGUCAACACUAGGGACUAUAUUUGUGAACAACGAUAAUCAAGGGACGACAGUUGUGGUCUCGGACCUUAUAAUUUGGUAGCAUUUUUGCGAAAAAUUUUCAUAAUGCACAUUUGGUACAAAGUUGAUUAAAAAUUAUGGCGUUGUAUCACUUUAUAUUAAUAAAGGAAGUUAUAUAUGAACAUGCACAUUUAAUGUGUUUUGUUGAUCACAUUAAAAUUCUUAAUCUAAUAAAAAUAUAAUUUAAUUGGAUGCUCCGUAUUAACCUUUUGUCUGUGAAAAAUGAAAAUGAUGUAAUUUGAAAACCUUAUGAUACAAAUAGUUAUCAAAGUACCAGAAUUAUAUUUUAGUACGCCAGACGCGCGUUUCGUCUACAUAAGACAUCAGUGACGCUCAGAUCAAAAUAGUUAUAAAGCCAAACAAGUACAAAGUUGAAGAGGAUUGAGGAUCCAAAAUUCUAAAAAGUUGUGCCAAAUACGGCUAAGGUAAUCUAUGUCUGGGAUAAGAAAGCUAUACUCUUAGUUUAUUAAUAAUUUAAACUUAUCAACGUAGAUUGUAAGAAAGGCACUUUAUUAUUCAUGUCAGUUCGUAAGCACCAACCACUGAUAACGUCAAUAAGUUCAUAACUACGAUGUGAAUACUUCGGGCUCCAUACUAUUAAUACCCAGUAAAUAAUUGACUACACGCAAUGCUAUGUUAGCUAUGCACAAUAUAUUAUUGAUUUUAAAUCUUUACACAUAUUACAUCAUUUAUGAAAAUAAUAAGGAUUGACUACCCAAGGAAUAAAUUACCAUUUCUGAUGGAUCUUUUGAAGACAAAAUUUUAAUCCUUCAAAACUGUUUAUAAUAUCUCAACUCAUAAUUGGAUAAGAACUAAUAAAAUAUAACAUGACUAGGUGUGAUAAAACUACAUCUAUUCGAAACUAGACUUCGAAAAUCACAAAGUUUCAUACAUCUAUAAAAACAAACUUUCAAAAUGUUAUCAUACAUUAAUUCUGUCGGACUUCAUUAUUUAUAUUCGUUAAUAAAAUCUUCCAUAUGAACAUAAUGUUAACACAGUAACAUAUUUCUUUGUAAACUACCAGAAAUCUGUUAAAACUGAUUUAAUCGUAUCAUUUACAGAUCUUGUGAUAUAUCGUGUUGAUCGUGUUUAUACAAACCUGGUAACAAGUCUAAUUCUGUAGAUCACAUUCGUGAAAAGCAGACGAGAUUAUAGUGCGACAUUAUGAACAUAUCCGCUAUCAUCUGUGAAACGAAUAUUCCAUAACGGUCAACCAACUCGUGAUUGCAUCCGUAAAAUUUACGAAGGAGUUAUUUCAACCUCAUCGUUAUAAUUUUUGGUUAGAUAGCUUUCUUUUGACCAGCAACCCUCUAUCAAGGAGAUCAUGACAGAAAAAAACACAUCUAAGGAAAUAUCUUAUGAAAAAGGAGAAAUAUACUCCAUAUACAGGCACGGAGGGGAUGUUGCUACAAAGAAAUGGAAAGUUUACAAUUGGAAACCUGAACUUAUCUCUUUUGUCGUAAAGUUUUGAGACUCAUUGUCAAUGAAACAGACUUAACUGUAUGUGUUGUAUUCUUUAUCUUAAGUUUUAUGGGAUUGAUGCUUUUUGUUUUGUAAUGUCUAGAGAAACAAUCCCCUAAAUCAAUACAUGACAUUAAUUUCCUCAAGUCAAAGGAACAAUGUUAUCAGAUAUGACAAGGAUCGGCUACCUUAGUUUGUGCAAUGAAAAACACUUUGUUUACGUCGUUAUAACUAACUGCGGUAAUUACCUUUCUUUGCAGAGUAUAUUAGGAAUUGUGUGGUGUUCCAAUUAUCAUUUAAGAUCAAGUAACAGUACUAUAUGUACCAAAUCACGUGACUGUACUUCAACUGCACCAUGUUGUAGGGAUGCUUAUUAUAAUACACUUACUGACCAGGAAAAUCACUUCGGU